This is a long non-coding RNA of Gambusia affinis (western mosquitofish), 381 nucleotides long. RefSeq lists it as uncharacterized. The record is from RefSeq and is a predicted model, not a curated record. The transcript has 5 exons. Lineage: Eukaryota; Metazoa; Chordata; Actinopteri; Cyprinodontiformes; Poeciliidae.
GGAUUUGAUGUAAAAUACAUCAAUUCAUUUAAAGGUCGGGGUGUGUUCAGCUGCCAGUGCUUUCAAAAAGGAGAUUUCCUUAUUGAGUGCAGAGGGGAAGUCAUAAGUAGGAAGGAACAAGAAAACCGAUUGAAAAUUUACCAUGAUGCACUCCAGGCUUUUAUGUUUGAUUUCAAGUUCAAUGGACAACAGCUUUGAUUUCCAAAGAUGAAUUGUGUCAGGCUGGUGAUGUGGAAACAUGCGGAUCCUGUUCAACCAACCCUCCAGAGAUUUCCAAAAAGGAACCGUAUCAGGCUGGUGACGUGGAUGCAUGGGGAUCCUUUUUAACCAACCCUCCUGAGCACAAAGUAAACACAGAUGGUAAGGGGAAAGAGCUCAACA